Molecule: small nucleolar RNA, 142 nt
Organism: Cynocephalus volans (Philippine flying lemur)
Lineage: Eukaryota; Metazoa; Chordata; Mammalia; Dermoptera; Cynocephalidae
Source: RefSeq, a predicted model, not a curated record
GAGCAGCCUGUGAGCCUCCAGGGCACCUGUGCUGGGCAAUGGGAAGGGAGGUGGUGUCUGGCUGCAGUGCCACAGUACAUGUUUGCAUAUAACUGGGGCUGCCAGUACCCACGGGUAGCCCUUUUAACUGCCAACAACAUGG